This 584-nucleotide ribosomal RNA is filed under the name uncultured bacterium. RNAcentral's name for it is "bacterial SSU rRNA". It matches the Rfam family "Bacterial small subunit ribosomal RNA", at positions 797 to 1381 of the family's 1533-position model. The record is from RNAcentral.
ACGCCGUAAACGAUGAGUGCUAGGUGUUAGGCCCUUUCCGGGGCUUAGUGCCGCAGCUAACGCAUUAAGCACUCCGCCUGGGGAGUACGACCGCAAGGUUGAAACUCAAAGGAAUUGACGGGGGCCCGCACAAGCGGUGGAGCAUGUGGUUUAAUUCGAAGCAACGCGAAGAACCUUACCAGGUCUUGACAUCCCUCUGACCGCUCUAGAGAUAGAGUUUUCCUUCGGGACAGAGGUGACAGGUGGUGCAUGGUUGUCGUCAGCUCGUGUCGUGAGAUGUUGGGUUAANNNNNNNNNCGAGCGCAACCCCUAUUGUUAGUUGCCAUCAUUGAGUUGGGCACUCUAGCGAGACUGCCGGUAAUAAACCGGAGGAAGGUGGGGAUGACGUCAAAUCAUCAUGCCCCUUAUGACCUGGGCUACACACGUGCUACAAUGGCUGGUACAACGAGUCGCAAGCCGGUGACGGCAAGCUAAUCUCUGAAAGCCAGUCUCAGUUCGGAUUGUAGGCUGCAACUCGCCUACAUGAAGUCGGAAUCGCUAGUAAUCGCGGAUCAGCACGCCGCGGUGAAUACGUUCCCGGGCCU